CUGGCUGACUCUCUUCUCAUAUGUUGGAAGGAUGGAAGAAAGUGAGAAUAAGACUAAAAAAUUUAAAAGAUGGGUAUUUUCGUCUGUUACGUGGGCUCCUAUAAGAGGUAUAGUAUAGAGAGAGAUAUUUUUAAGUAUAGGGACAUUGAAGCCUUUUUAUAGGUGAAUAUCAGUAGGAGAUUUUGUAUAUUUUAGAUGUAGG
This 202-nucleotide long non-coding RNA is filed under the name Elaeis guineensis (African oil palm). RNAcentral's name for it is "long non-coding RNA (EGUI_LNC024694)". Lineage: Eukaryota; Viridiplantae; Streptophyta; Magnoliopsida; Arecales; Arecaceae. The record is from RNAcentral.